This 462-nucleotide ribosomal RNA is filed under the name Salmonella enterica subsp. enterica serovar Enteritidis. RNAcentral's name for it is "partial 23S ribosomal RNA". It matches the Rfam family "Bacterial large subunit ribosomal RNA", at positions 100 to 603 of the family's 2925-position model. The record is from RNAcentral. Lineage: Bacteria; Pseudomonadati; Pseudomonadota; Gammaproteobacteria; Enterobacterales; Enterobacteriaceae.
AUAACCGGCGAUACCCGAAUGGGGAAACCCAGUGUGAUUCGUCACACUAUCAUUAACUGAAUCCAUAGGUUAAUGAGGCGAACCGGGGGAACUGAAACAUCUAAGUACCCCGAGGAAAAGAAAUCAACCGAGAUUCCCCCAGUAGCGGCGAGCGAACGGGGAGGAGCCCAGAGCCUGAAUCAGCAUGUGUGUUAGUGGAAGCGUCUGGAAAGGCGCGCGAUACAGGGUGACAGCCCCGUACACAAAAGCGCAUGUGCUGUGAGCUCGAUGAGUAGGGCGGGACACGUGGUAUCCUGUCUGAAUAUGGGGGGACCAUCCUCCAAGGCUAAAUACUCCUGACUGACCGAUAGUGAACCAGUACCGUGAGGGAAAGGCGAAAAGAACCCCGGCGAGGGGAGUGAAAAAGAACCUGAAACCGUGUACGUACAAGCAGUGGGAGCACCCUUUGGGUGUGACUGCGUA